GGAGGAAGCUCCGGCUAACUACGUGCCAGCAGCCGCGGUAAUACGUAGGGAGCAAGCGUUGUCCGGAUUUACUGGGUGUAAAGGGUGCGUAGGCGGAUUGGCAAGUCAGAAGUGAAAUCCAUGGGCUUAACCCAUGAACUGCUUUUGAAACUGUUAGUCUUGAGUGAAGUAGAGGUAGGCGGAAUUCCCGGUGUAGCGGUGAAAUGCGUAGAGAUCGGGAGGAACACCAGUGGCGAAGGCGGCCUACUGGGCUUUAACUGACGCUGAGGCACGAAAGUGUGGGUAGCAAACAGGAUUAGAUACCCUGGUAGUCCACACUGUAAACGAUGAUUACUAGGUGUGGGGGGUCUAACCCCCUCCGUGCCGGAGUUAACACAAUAAGUAAUCCACCUGGGGAGUACGACCGCAAGGUUGAAACUCAAAGGAAUUGACGGGGGCCCGCACAAGCAGUGGAGUAUGUGGUUUAAUUCGACGCAACGCGAAGAACCUUACCAGGUCUUGACAUCCAACUAACGAAGCAGAGAUGCGUUAGGUGCCCUUCGGGGAAAGUUGAGACAGGUGGUGCAUGGUUGUCGUCAGCUCGUGUCGUGAGAUGUUGGGUUAAGUCCCGCAACGAGCGCAACCCUUGUGAUUAGUUGCUACGCAAGAGCACUCUAAUCAGACUGCCGUUGACAAAACGGAGGAAGGUGGGGACGACGUCAAAUCAUCAUGCCCUUUAUGACCUGGGCUACACACGUACUACAAUGGUCGUUAACAGAGGGAAGCAAUACCGCGAGGUGGAGCAAAACCCUAAAAACGGUCUCAGUUCAGAUUGUAGGCUGCAACUCGCCUACAUGAAGUUGGAAUUGCUAGUAAUCGCGGAUCAGCAUGCCGCGGUGAAUACGUUCCCGGGCCUUGUACACACCGCCCGUCACACCAUGGGAGCCGGUAAUACCCGAAGUCAGUAGUUUAACCGUAAGGAGAACGCUGCCGAAGGUAGGAUUGGCGACUGGGGUGAAGUCGUAACAAGGUAGCCGUAUCGGAAGGUGCGGCUG
This 1034-nucleotide ribosomal RNA is filed under the name human gut metagenome. RNAcentral describes it as "bacterial SSU rRNA". It matches the Rfam family "Bacterial small subunit ribosomal RNA", at positions 483 to 1520 of the family's 1533-position model. The record is from RNAcentral.